This 2901-nucleotide ribosomal RNA is filed under the name Escherichia coli. RNAcentral describes it as "23S ribosomal RNA". It matches the Rfam family "Bacterial large subunit ribosomal RNA". The record is from RNAcentral. Lineage: Bacteria; Pseudomonadati; Pseudomonadota; Gammaproteobacteria; Enterobacterales; Enterobacteriaceae.
UUAAGCGACUAAGCGUACACGGUGGAUGCCCUGGCAGUCAGAGGCGAUGAAGGACGUGCUAAUCUGCGAUAAGCGUCGGUAAGGUGAUAUGAACCGUUAUAACCGGCGAUUUCCGAAUGGGGAAACCCAGUGUGUUUCGACACACUAUCAUUAACUGAAUCCAUAGGUUAAUGAGGCGAACCGGGGGAACUGAAACAUCUAAGUACCCCGAGGAAAAGAAAUCAACCGAGAUUCCCCCAGUAGCGGCGAGCGAACGGGGAGCAGCCCAGAGCCUGAAUCAGUGUGUGUGUUAGUGGAAGCGUCUGGAAAGGCGCGCGAUACAGGGUGACAGCCCCGUACACAAAAAUGCACAUGCUGUGAGCUCGAUGAGUAGGGCGGGACACGUGGUAUCCUGUCUGAAUAUGGGGGGACCAUCCUCCAAGGCUAAAUACUCCUGACUGACCGAUAGUGAACCAGUACCGUGAGGGAAAGGCGAAAAGAACCCCGGCGAGGGGAGUGAAAAAGAACCUGAAACCGUGUACGUACAAGCAGUGGGAGCACGCUUAGGCGUGUGACUGCGUACCUUUUGUAUAAUGGGUCAGCGACUUAUAUUCUGUAGCAAGGUUAACCGAAUAGGGGAGCCGAAGGGAAACCGAGUCUUAACUGGGCGUUAAGUUGCAGGGUAUAGACCCGAAACCCGGUGAUCUAGCCAUGGGCAGGUUGAAGGUUGGGUAACACUAACUGGAGGACCGAACCGACUAAUGUUGAAAAAUUAGCGGAUGACUUGUGGCUGGGGGUGAAAGGCCAAUCAAACCGGGAGAUAGCUGGUUCUCCCCGAAAGCUAUUUAGGUAGCGCCUCGUGAAUUCAUCUCCGGGGGUAGAGCACUGUUUCGGCAAGGGGGUCAUCCCGACUUACCAACCCGAUGCAAACUGCGAAUACCGGAGAAUGUUAUCACGGGAGACACACGGCGGGUGCUAACGUCCGUCGUGAAGAGGGAAACAACCCAGACCGCCAGCUAAGGUCCCAAAGUCAUGGUUAAGUGGGAAACGAUGUGGGAAGGCCCAGACAGCCAGGAUGUUGGCUUAGAAGCAGCCAUCAUUUAAAGAAAGCGUAAUAGCUCACUGGUCGAGUCGGCCUGCGCGGAAGAUGUAACGGGGCUAAACCAUGCACCGAAGCUGCGGCAGCGACGCUUAUGCGUUGUUGGGUAGGGGAGCGUUCUGUAAGCCUGCGAAGGUGUGCUGUGAGGCAUGCUGGAGGUAUCAGAAGUGCGAAUGCUGACAUAAGUAACGAUAAAGCGGGUGAAAAGCCCGCUCGCCGGAAGACCAAGGGUUCCUGUCCAACGUUAAUCGGGGCAGGGUGAGUCGACCCCUAAGGCGAGGCCGAAAGGCGUAGUCGAUGGGAAACAGGUUAAUAUUCCUGUACUUGGUGUUACUGCGAAGGGGGGACGGAGAAGGCUAUGUUGGCCGGGCGACGGUUGUCCCGGUUUAAGCGUGUAGGCUGGUUUUCCAGGCAAAUCCGGAAAAUCAAGGCUGAGGCGUGAUGACGAGGCACUACGGUGCUGAAGCAACAAAUGCCCUGCUUCCAGGAAAAGCCUCUAAGCAUCAGGUAACAUCAAAUCGUACCCCAAACCGACACAGGUGGUCAGGUAGAGAAUACCAAGGCGCUUGAGAGAACUCGGGUGAAGGAACUAGGCAAAAUGGUGCCGUAACUUCGGGAGAAGGCACGCUGAUAUGUAGGUGAAGUCCCUCGCGGAUGGAGCUGAAAUCAGUCGAAGAUACCAGCUGGCUGCAACUGUUUAUUAAAAACACAGCACUGUGCAAACACGAAAGUGGACGUAUACGGUGUGACGCCUGCCCGGUGCCGGAAGGUUAAUUGAUGGGGUCAGCGCAAGCGAAGCUCUUGAUCGAAGCCCCGGUAAACGGCGGCCGUAACUAUAACGGUCCUAAGGUAGCGAAAUUCCUUGUCGGGUAAGUUCCGACCUGCACGAAUGGCGUAAUGAUGGCCAGGCUGUCUCCACCCGAGACUCAGUGAAAUUGAACUCGCUGUGAAGAUGCAGUGUACCCGCGGCAAGACGGAAAGACCCCGUGAACCUUUACUAUAGCUUGACACUGAACAUUGAGCCUUGAUGUGUAGGAUAGGUGGGAGGCUUUGAAGUGUGGACGCCAGUCUGCAUGGAGCCGACCUUGAAAUACCACCCUUUAAUGUUUGAUGUUCUAACGUUGACCCGUAAUCCGGGUUGCGGACAGUGUCUGGUGGGUAGUUUGACUGGGGCGGUCUCCUCCUAAAGAGUAACGGAGGAGCACGAAGGUUGGCUAAUCCUGGUCGGACAUCAGGAGGUUAGUGCAAUGGCAUAAGCCAGCUUGACUGCGAGCGUGACGGCGCGAGCAGGUGCGAAAGCAGGUCAUAGUGAUCCGGUGGUUCUGAAUGGAAGGGCCAUCGCUCAACGGAUAAAAGGUACUCCGGGGAUAACAGGCUGAUACCGCCCAAGAGUUCAUAUCGACGGCGGUGUUUGGCACCUCGAUGUCGGCUCAUCACAUCCUGGGGCUGAAGUAGGUCCCAAGGGUAUGGCUGUUCGCCAUUUAAAGUGGUACGCGAGCUGGGUUUAGAACGUCGUGAGACAGUUCGGUCCCUAUCUGCCGUGGGCGCUGGAGAACUGAGGGGGGCUGCUCCUAGUACGAGAGGACCGGAGUGGACGCAUCACUGGUGUUCGGGUUGUCAUGCCAAUGGCACUGCCCGGUAGCUAAAUGCGGAAGAGAUAAGUGCUGAAAGCAUCUAAGCACGAAACUUGCCCCGAGAUGAGUUCUCCCUGACUCCUUGAGAGUCCUGAAGGAACGUUGAAGACGACGACGUUGAUAGGCCGGGUGUGUAAGCGCAGCGAUGCGUUGAGCUAACCGGUACUAAUGAACCGUGAGGCUUAACCU